GCAUUGUGUGUUUUCUCUCCUGAUUGGACCCGGAGUGUUUUAUGUACCUACUUUUGUAACGUCACAGUUGAUAUGCAGCUAAGUAAUAAAUUCCAAGAAUGAACUACAGUUGAAGUUGAUUUGCAACAGAAUGUUUUGACAGCUUGUUUUGACACUAUGACAAUGAGAGAGGAGAGUGUCCUCAAGGAUAAUGUUUUAUUUGACCCUUAAAAAUAUGGUCACCUGAUACUUCUUAGGAAGAUGGUAAUCAUAAUUGAAGAAAAAAGAAAAAUUGACAGAAAUUAAUAAGUGGAAGAGCUCAGUGACUGAGAACUUUGGACUUCAAAACCCUCUAGAAAUAAAAACUUUCCAUCUGUGCUUAAGACUAGAGGUCAAGUAUUCAUUGACUAAUAAAGAUCCCCCCUCAACUAGAAAACGCCCUUUGAAAUCCAAUUAACUCUUUUACACAG
This is a long non-coding RNA of Heterocephalus glaber (naked mole-rat), 449 nucleotides long. The record is from Ensembl. NCBI's taxonomy places the organism in Eukaryota, Metazoa, Chordata, Mammalia, Rodentia, Bathyergidae.